UCAAAACAAUUUUCAAGUCUGAUCUGAAGUCUUCAUUAUAAUGCAAUGUGGCAUCCAGGGGAUAUGAAUGUGGAAGAGAAUCCUGCACUCACAUAGUUCUCUUUGGUUUCUACAUUUCCUCAUUACAGAGAAUAUGGUGAUGAGCUUCUAACUUCUUUUGACAUUUUUGAAAUGUCUUGGACAAUAAUAAAGAUGGAGGUUGGUCCUGGCAAGUUCUACUUGAGAAAGCACCUGCUCAGAAACAAUUCUUAUGCUUUCAUUGACUUGGGUGGAAAAAAACAGCUGUAUGGAUCUCUAAGUUUUGUGUGUAUUCUACAAACAAAAAGAUUCUCAUUUGCUCCAGGCUAAUCUUCAGUCUCCUUCCCUUCUGAGAAAAUUGAACAGGAGGGAUCACUUCUCAACUCAUUUAUGAGGCCAGGAGUACCCUGAUUCCAAAGCCAGAAAAAGACGUUACAAGAAAAG
Zalophus californianus (California sea lion) is the source of this 462-nucleotide long non-coding RNA. RefSeq lists it as uncharacterized. The record is from RefSeq and is a predicted model, not a curated record. Lineage: Eukaryota; Metazoa; Chordata; Mammalia; Carnivora; Otariidae. The transcript has 3 exons.